Molecule: ribosomal RNA, 446 nt
Filed under: uncultured bacterium
Lineage: Bacteria
Description: partial 16S ribosomal RNA
Rfam family: Bacterial small subunit ribosomal RNA
Source: RNAcentral
CCUACGGGAGGCAGCAGUCGAGAAUCAUUCACAAUGGGGGAAACCCUGAUGGUGCGACGCCGCGUGGGGGAAUGAAGGUCUUCGGAUUGUAAACCCCUGUCAUGUGGGAGCAAAUUAAAAAGAUAGUACCACAAGAGGAAGAGACGGAUAACUCUGUGCCAGCAGCCGCGGUAAUACAGAGGUCUCAAGCGGUGUUCGGAAUCACUGGGCGUAAAGCGUGCGUAGGCUGUUUCGUAAGUCGUGUGUGAAAGGCGCGGGCUCAACCCGCGGUGGGCACAUGAUACUGCGAGACUAGAGUAAUGGAGGGGGAACCGGAAUUCUCGGUGUAGCAGUGAAAUGCGGAGAUAUCGAGAGGAACACUCGUGGCGAAGGCGGGUUCCUGGACAUUAACUGACGCUGAGGCACGAAGGUCAGGGGAGCGAAAGGGAUUAGAUACCCGUGUAGUC